GGCGUGCCUAAUACAUGCAAGUAGAACGCUGAAGAGAGGAGCUUGCUCUUCUUGGAUGAGUUGCGAACGGGUGAGUAACGCGUAGGUAACCUGCCUUGUAGCGGGGGAUAACUAUUGGAAACGAUAGCUAAUACCGCAUAACAAUGGAUGACACAUGUCAUUUAUUUGAAAGGGGCAAAUGCUCCACUACAAGAUGGACCUGCGUUGUAUUAGCUAGUAGGUGAGGUAACGGCUCACCUAGGCGACGAUACAUAGCCGACCUGAGAGGGUGAUCGGCCACACUGGGACUGAGACACGGCCCAGACUCCUACGGGAGGCAGCAGUAGGGAAUCUUCGGCAAUGGGGGCAACCCUGACCGAGCAACGCCGCGUGAGUGAAGAAGGUUUUCGGAUCGUAAAGCUCUGUUGUAAGUCAAGAACGAGUGUGAGAGUGGAAAGUUCACACUGUGACGGUAGCUUACCAGAAAGGGACGGCUAACUACGUGCCAGCAGCCGCGGUAAUACGUAGGUCCCGAGCGUUGUCCGGAUUUAUUGGGCGUAAAGCGAGCGCAGGCGGUUUGAUAAGUCUGAAGUUAAAGGCUGUGGCUCAACCAUAGUUCGCUUUGGAAACUGUCAAACUUGAGUGCAGAAGGGGAGAGUGGAAUUCCAUGUGUAGCGGUGAAAUGCGUAGAUAUAUGGAGGAACACCGGUGGCGAAAGCGGCUCUCUGGUCUGUAACUGACGCUGAGGCUCGAAAGCGUGGGGAGCGAACAGGAUUAGAUACCCUGGUAGUCCACGCCGUAAACGAUGAGUGCUAGGUGUUGGAUCCUUUCCGGGAUUCAGCGCCGCAGCUAACGCAUUAAGCACUCCGCCUGGGGAGUACGACCGCAAGGUUGAAACUCAAAGGAAUUGACGGGGGCCCGCACAAGCGGUGGAGCAUGUGGUUUAAUUCGAAGCAACGCGAAGAACCUUACCAGGUCUUGACAUCCCGAUGCUAUUUCUAGAGAUAGAAAGUUACUUCGGUACAUCGGUGACAGGUGGUGCGUGGUUGUCGUCAGCUCGUGUCGUGAGAUGUUGGGUUAAGUCCCGCAACGAGCGCAACCCCUAUUGUUAGUUGCCAUCAUUCAGUUGGGCACUCUAGCGAGACUGCCGGUAAUAAACCGGAGGAAGGUGGGGAUGACGUCAAAUCAUCAUGCCCCUUAUGACCUGGGCUACACACGUGCUACAAUGGUUGGUACAACGAGUUGCGAGUCGGUGACGGCAAGCUAAUCUCUUAAAGCCAAUCUCAGUUCGGAUUGUAGGCUGCAACUCGCCUACAUGAAGUCGGAAUCGCUAGUAAUCGCGGAUCAGCACGCCGCGGUGAAUACGUUCCCGGGCCUUGUACACACCGCCCGUCACACCACGAGAGUUUGUAACACCCGAAGUCGGUGAGGCAACCUUUUGGAGCCAGCCGCCUAAGGUGGGAUAGAUGAUUGGGGUG
This 1457-nucleotide ribosomal RNA is filed under the name uncultured organism. RNAcentral's name for it is "16S ribosomal RNA". It matches the Rfam family "Bacterial small subunit ribosomal RNA". The record is from RNAcentral.